Eucalyptus grandis is the source of this 4693-nucleotide long non-coding RNA. RefSeq lists it as uncharacterized. NCBI's taxonomy places the organism in Eukaryota, Viridiplantae, Streptophyta, Magnoliopsida, Myrtales, Myrtaceae. The record is from RefSeq and is a predicted model, not a curated record. The transcript is spliced from 3 exons.
UUUGCCCCGUUUUCCCACACAAAAUCCGAAUCAUCUCCAUCCACCCCCUCGUUUCGCUUCGCGCCUUUUUUUUUUAUUCUCCGUGGUUUUUCUCUUCGUACUUGCCGCUGCCAAUCUUCACGGUCGGCGUAUCGUCUCGGAUGAUGAUGAUGACUCAGAUUGGCCUCGGCUGCUGCGGUUGAAGGAGCGACGCCGGACCGGUGGAUGUGCCGACAGCGAAACCAAAAGAAUCUCAUCCUUCAAAUCGGCGGAUCGUAUCCAGAUGAUGAUGAUGAUGAUCCAUCCAUCCAACCUCAGCCUGGGCAAUCGGAUAAAAGGCUCUUGUAAACAGUGAACACACCACCCCGCGUCCCCCUUUGCGCGCGGCAUAGAUGGGCGGGAUAAUGGAAUUCCGAAAGGCGGCAAUGAAGUGGGAGCGAGCAGAACGAAGCAAAGAGUCGACAGGACAUAUUCUGGAGUGAAUUGGAAUUUGACUCGGAAGUUCAAUCAGACAUGGAAAAUGGUCCUGAUGAUGGUUUAGUGGCGAUGGCAGCGAAAGCCCGAGGUGGCCCGGCGACAGAUAAAUCUGGUCCAAACAUGGGCAAGGACAAAAAAGCGAGGACUUGAAUCAGAGUGGCCGCGACUCAAAUGUGGAAUCUAAUGGUGUGGUUUACUGUGGGGAUGAUCUGAAUUGCUGGAGAUGAAUCAAGGGAAUCCAGAGCCAGAGAGAGAUGCGAAAAAAAAAAUAAUAAUUGGUCGGAGAAAAAUCCGUCGAGUCUGCAAGGAAGGUGUUUGAUGGAAUGACGAAGCUGGACUCUGUUUCCAAGGAUACCCAUUCGAGAGAGAGAGAAUUAGCGAGCUUUAUCAAGCAGUGAGAGCAAGUUCGAGUUUGAGAGGGCAUGAUGUUGUCAAUUCUAACACGAAAAGCCACUGCCAGAGGCUUGGAUGCUGUGUUGUUGAGAGAAAGGCUGCGGAAGAGUUGUGCCGCAGAAAUGUCGUUACGUAGUAAUGCUACUGCGGGCAAAUAGAUGACUGUGAGAGAGGCUAUGAAUGCUACGUUUGAUGAGGAAAUGUCUGCAGAUCCUAGAGUCUUUCAAUGUGUCUAAAGGUUCUUUUCUUUAGCAGAAGUAUGGACCUGAGAGGGUUGUUGAUACUGCUAUCACAGAGGCUGGUUUCGCUGGAGUUGAAGUCAGCGCUGCUUUCUAUGGUCUCAGGCCUGUCGUGGAUUUUAUGACAUUCAAUUUUGCUAUGCAGGUGAUUGAACACGUUAUAAAUUCUGUUGCAAAGAUGAAUUGCAUGUUGACCAGCGAUAUAUCAGUCCCUAUAGUUUCAAGAGGAGCUGCAGCAGGAGUUGAUGCCUUACAUUCCCAAGCCCUAUGAAGACGUUGCCAUCCCACCUGGAGGUAGCUUUACUGAAUUCAGCCUUGUUAGAUCACUUGUCACCCUCAGGGUCUAUGGAACACAAGAAUUGUCUGUGGCGUGCUAAAUGAGAGUUGCUCAUGAACGGUGUAACAUCUCCAGCAUGUCCCUUCAACCGAAGUUCUUCCUCAUCCUCUGCUUUUUCCAGAUUUGCAUUCACCAAUUUCUUAAUGCAGUGUGUUAGUUGCAUUAUUUGAAGGCCUUGUCAUCAAGGAAUGGAUAGGCUGCGUGGCUGCAAAUCUAAUUGGCAUUUACUCAAGUCUCCUUUUCAGUUGAUAAUAUGAGGGUACUGAAAUGGCCCAUAUGCUCAAUAUAAUAAUGUAGGCGCAUUGUUAUUACACUGAUUAACUCAGCUUGUGAUGUUUGGUAUUAGACUCAGAAAGCUUCACGUCUCCUUCGUCCUUUUCCUGCCUUCUUUUGUUCGAAUGGGUAAGCAAUCAUUCACAAAUUCUGGGCAUGCUUGUCUUGUUCCGAAGUAGUAAUUGCUUUUGCUAUUGAAUGACACUCUUUGCCCUCAUGAACUUUGAUCGGUGACCUAUUGUUGAACCGCUAGUCUUUACAUUAGUCCAUGAUUCAGUCAUGCCAAAUUCGAUUUGUUUAUUACAUGCUCUGGUAUUCUAGGGUUGAAUGAAUUUUUAUUUGGGUCUGCUUUGCUUCACAGUUAUUAGUAUCAAUAUUAUGUGUUGCUUCAUUUUGUAAUAAUGCGGUGUAGGAAAUUGGUGAACUCCUUAAACUCCCUCCUAGGCAACAUUGUCAUUGAUGAUAGGUCAUUUAGGGCAUUUGUUUCUCUUGUAUACAUGUUUCUAGUGACGUCAGAUUAACUUAAAGACUCUCUGGAAAUACAGAUAAUGGAGAUCCAAGGAAAUAUCUUUGUGGAUUUUUAAGCUGCUUUUGAUGUGAAAUUGGGGUCUUGGAAUUUGACAUUUGUUGAUUCACUUUCGAUCAAUGCUAUAUUCAAUGCAUUUAUCAUUUUUUUUCCUUCUCUUCUUUUAAACGGUGAUGUCGUUGCCACAGGAUUCGCCAUCAGGGUUGCUGUGAAACCCAAGUAUCAAAUCAGAUCAGUUGUAUGAGAAUUGUUUUGUAGCUCAUUCCAGUGGCUUCACACGCAAACCAUGGUAUGAUGUGGAUUAUACAAAUAUCACCAGCAAGAGUGACCACCGCAAGGGCUAUCAUUUUCCUCGUGCUCACAGGUCUAUUCUUGCUCAGUUUCAAACACUCUCAAUUGACAAACUGAUAUAAAUAGGAAGGAAAGCAAAGAAUGGGGUGGGAGUGCAGGGGGAGAAGGAUACAUUGGGUGGGAGAUAAUCGAAAUAAGUGAGCCUGCAUCACUUUUGUUCAUGCAAAGGAAAAAGCACCAAUAGUAGCAGCCACCCAUGCAUGCAAGAACCAUGGAAAGAGAGAAUGAAGUACUGUGAGUUUUCUUAAGCUGCUUCUGAUGCGAAAUUGAGGUCUUGGAAUUUGACAUGUCAAUUCACUUUCGAUCGAUGUUUGAUUCUAUGCAUUUAUCAUUUUUUUCCUUCUCUUCUUUUAAAUGGUGAUGAUGUUGCUACGGGAUUUGACAUCCGGGUUGCUGCAGAACCAAAGUAUCAAAUCAGAUCAGGUGAAUGAGGAUCAUUUUGUAGCUCAUUCCAGUGUCUUCACAUGCGAACCAUAGUGGUUCCUGAUCUUACGAAUAGGGCUGGAUUAUCUUAUUAAAUUUGAUGCGGAAUCGGUAACUCUUGAAUUAUUCUGCUACCCACCGAGGAACAUAUUGUAUCCAUAGUGGAAAUGAAAUCUCGUAGGAUUUUCACUUUCUAGCUUUUAACCAGCUCGUGUCUCAUUGUCUUGAUCUGGGCUUCUAGCUACAUAUUUUCAUCAUCAUUUCUUGAUAUGUAAACUCUGUAUAUUUAGAAAUGUUAAGUGAUGCAAUCACUUUUGGAGCUAGCUUUAGGACCAAUCAUGUGAUGCUUUUGCCUUUCAAAUUUAUGGCUAAGCCCUUUCUAGUUCGACUUGGCAAUCACUGAGUUGGCUUUUGCACUGACUGGUCUUAAUAUAUCUCCAAAAGUGCUAAGUUUCACUACAACUGUAGAGGAAGAUAAUGACCAAAGGACCCACUUAAACAACCUUUCACUACACACUUCUCUCUCGUCCCUAUGCCCCAUUUUUGGUCCAUUUUUGUGGAAGUUAAUAAUUUGAUGAUUAAUGUUUAAGUAGUUUCAUUUGUUUGUCAUUUAGUUAAUGGAGCAUCUAUUGUUUUGGUGGAUUUUGAUUCAACAUCUCUGUUUGUGGCUUUUCAACUGUAGGAUGGAAAUAGAUUGUCCAAGUUCUUUAUAUAUCCUUCAAAAUUCAGUACCUUGUCUUCUGGUUCAAAUGGAAUAGUAUGGCAGUUUCAAUUUUCUUGGAUUGGCUUCUUCUUAACAGUGUCCUCAGUUUUGGCGUUUGGUGGGAAUGUAGUCGCCAUAUUCAUGAUUGACAUGCUAGGCAUUACAAACAGGAACAAACCGAGAACUUGGAGGGUAUGUUUUGGUUCUCCAUGAAUCACUUCAACCAAGAGGUUGUGUCAUAUAAUGCUGGUUACUAAUAUGUUGAUGUGUGUUCGACUGCUGAUGUAGUCAGAUCAGAAUUAUGACAAACAGGGAGGUUCACUGGUCCACUAAACUUUUAAGUGCAUGCAUUGGAGAUCUAACACCUGUACAUGCACAAGUUCUCUACCCUUCUAACAUUGCAUUGUGGAAGUUAUAAAUGUGUUUUGAUCACUUUGAUCAGAAUCAAAUCAUAGAAGCAUGUUCUGCUAAGCAAAGCUGAUCGUUCAGCUUUGCUGGCCAUCCGAGGCGUGUUUGAAAAAGUAGUUUUCUAUGUGCUUCCAAUGUUUGGACCAAAGUCUCUCAUUUCUAGACAUUACUUUCCUACUGAAAGCUUCAUAUUAUGGAGGCUUGGUUACAGAGUCAGAUGUUCUCGGCUUGCAAUCUGGUUUUUUGACUGCUCCAAGAGGAAGUACCGAGUGUACUAACAAUGUACGUAUGAAGUGGAUUAGGCAAAUAUCACCAACAAGAGUGGCCACCCCAAGGGCUAUCAUUUCUUCGUGCUCUAAGAUCUGUUCUUGCUUAGUUUCAAAUACUCUCAACAGAGAAACUGAUAUAAAUAGGAAGAAAAGCAAAGAAGCGGGUGGGGGUGCGGCGGGAGAAGGAUACUUCAGGUGGGACCUAGUCAAAGUAAGUGUGUAUCACUUUUGUUUAUGCAAAGAUAAAAUCACCAAUACCAGCAGCCAUCCACACAUACGAGAACUAAAGAAAGAGAGAUUGAAGUACAAGCACAU